CUACGGGUCGCUCCAGUGGGGAAUAUUGCACAAUGGAGGAAACUCUGAUGCAGCAACGCCGCGUGGAGGAUGACACUUUUCGGAGCGUAAACUCCUUUUAUAUAGGAAGAAGAUGACGGUACUAUAUGAAUAAGCGCCGGCUAACUCCGUGCCAGCAGCUGCGGUAAUACGGAGGGCGCAAGCGUUACUCGGAAUCACUGGGCGUAAAGAGCGUGUAGGCGGAUUAAAAAGUCAGAAGUGAAAUCCUAUAGCUUAACUAUAGAACUGCUUCUGAAACUCUUAAUCUAGAAUAUGGGAGAGGUAGAUGGAAUUUCUGGUGUAGGGGUAAGAUCCGUAGAGAUCAGAAGGAAUACCGAUUGCGAAGGCGAUCUACUAGAACAUUACUGACGCUAAGGCGUGAAAGCGUGGGGAGCAAACAGGAUUAGAUACCCCAGUAGUC
RNAcentral lists this ribosomal RNA (439 nucleotides) under uncultured bacterium. Its description in RNAcentral is "partial 16S ribosomal RNA". It matches the Rfam family "Bacterial small subunit ribosomal RNA", at positions 339 to 795 of the family's 1533-position model. The record is from RNAcentral.